This 1253-nucleotide long non-coding RNA is filed under the name Danio rerio (zebrafish). RNAcentral describes it as "lncRNA linc.6269 (ENSDARG00000097882.3)". The record is from RNAcentral. Lineage: Eukaryota; Metazoa; Chordata; Actinopteri; Cypriniformes; Danionidae.
CGACUGAAUUCGAAAACGUACGUUUCCUCGUGAGAUCAGGUUCUAUAGUUAUUGUUUUUUAUUAAUAUUAAUGUUAUGUCACUUGCUUAUCAUGAUUUUUUAAAAUAAAUUUAUUACCAUUGGCAACGCAAACAUUUGCCUCAUGUCCGCGUGCGCGCGCCUCCGCUAAACGAUUUCAAACCGAAGGACUCGAGGAUUGGGCCAGAAAGCAGUCCAGAAUGAUCAAAGAUGGAAAAUGAAAGCUCUCCAAGAGCUCGUCAGAUGUGCUGAGUCUGCUUACCCGUGCAAGGCUUCGAGUGCAGAAUGAAUUGGUUCAGAAAGUUUCAUCUGUCAGUCUCCUGUUGGCGUGGAGCCUAAACUUCUCUGAGUACUGUGUGCGUCCUGCGGCCUCGGCUGUCUGAAAUUUGCACCGGGCUGCUGUUUGUAAAGGGCUUUACAGCUGUCAGUCCUCAUGAUGCCUGUCACCUCCUCACACACUCACACACAGGAUUACAGAGCAGGCCUGAAGAUCACGGCCUGAAAGCCAGAUAAAAUGUCCCCCAACGCGGGCCACUUGACUGACUAAGCUGGUUGUCAUCGUCUGAGAGAGAUUCCAGCUCUUGUAAAAACACAGAGCUCAGCCCUUCACUUCAGCACGGUCGCUCCUGUGAUUGUCAGUAAUGGCAGACAGAUAAAUAUCUGAAAGAAGCAUGCUCAUCCAGGUUUUAGCAUGGCCCGUCACCCUGCUGAUGGUGACAACACAUUUUGGAAUUCUGAAGCAUUUCUGGGUAAACCUGUACCUUCAUGUUUCUCUGUUCUGAAAAUUGUGUAAUUGUUUUGAGUUCAAAUGUGAUCUCAGAUUGCACUUUAAUCUGUAGAGACAACUAAAAGUAAACGGUGGUUUCACUAAGUAGAACAUGGGAACGUGGAAACACCUUUAUUGAAUGUAAAACAACUUUGAAUAUGCCAUAUGAUUGAUAACUUGUUUAAAUGUUACAUUUACACAUGGUCCUUUACCAUUUACACACUGAAGAGUAACACACAUCUAAUGUAUCAAAUUGUAUCAAACAUCAAAUAAUAGGAGAGUCAGGUCACCCUUUAUUUUAAUGGUGCAUGUGUUGAAUUUAAGUUACAUUGCAUCUACAUGCUAAAUUAUUCUCAGGAGAUUAUAAGUAAACUGUUAGGGUUAGUGUAAGUUGACAUGUACUUGCAAAGUUUCUUAUAGUCAGUUAAAUGUCUGUUGAAGAACCAGUAUCCACAGAUAUUAUGCAGAC